Molecule: long non-coding RNA, 686 nt
Filed under: Homo sapiens (human)
Lineage: Eukaryota; Metazoa; Chordata; Mammalia; Primates; Hominidae
Description: HSALNT0365281
Source: RNAcentral
GGGGGGGGUUGUUCUUUUGCUCCUUGGGUCCACACUGCGUUUAUGAGCUGUAAUAUUCACCGCAAAGGUCUGCAGCUUCACUACUAAGCCAACGAGACCACAAACCCACCAGGAGGAACGACAAUUCCAGACGCGUGGCUUUAACAGCUGUUAACACUCACCGCGAAGGUCUGUAGCUUCAUUUCUGAGUCAGCGAGACCACGAACCCACCAGAAAGAAGAAACUCCGAACACACCCGAACCUCAGAAGGAACAAAUUCCGGACACGCCGCCUUUAAGAACUGUAACACUCACCACAAGGGUCCGCGGCUUCAUUCUUGAAGUCAGUGAGACCAAGAACCCACUAAUUCCGGACACACUUUGACCAGCAGAGCAGGCAGAAGUAAAGCCACGGUUCACAGAAGUGACCUGGGAGAAGCAGCAGCCCCGGGAGAGGCUUAACUAGCAGAGCACUGAGGCCCACCGACAGCCAUGUGCAUGAGCUUGGAAGCACAUCUCCCCAACCCACCCCAGUCAAGCCUGCAGAUGAGACCUCAGCUGCAGCUGACAACUCGGCUACAACUUUGUGAGAGACCUGGAGCCAAAAGCACCUAGCUAAGCUGUGCCUGUAUUUCUGACCCACAGAAACUCUGAGGGAGAAGGUGGCAUUUGCAAGCCAGAAAGAGAGCCCACACCAGAAACCGAAUU